GACGGCCACCACUUCCGACCUCAGGUGUUCUGUUCCGUGGUGAGGCUGUGCAAAUCAGCGCGCGGGUGAGGGUCCCCACUUCUUUUCCCAAAAUUUCCUUCCUUAGCGCCUCAGAGAUCCAUGCUACGGGAGGCCCAGCAGAGGCUCUCAGCGCCCAGCAGUCCCCUCCCCGCUGCCCUCGGCUCAGAGCUUGGAUCACAGCCACAGUGUCUGCUAGCCUUUAUGAUGCUCCGACGUCUCGGGUUGAGUCACUUCCAGCCCAGGCAGACUGGGGCCGCACCGUCUGAACCCCGGCCCACACUCAGGGGUCCAGAUGGACCAACCCACACCUGUGAGCAAAUGGCGUGCUCACCCUCCCCUCUCCGGGGCGACACUGACACCGGGAAGAGCAACGUUGGCCUCCUCCCAGCGUGGGGGCAGCGGUGGCACCAGGAUCAGAGACGCUGACCAGUUCACACGCCUCUGUCUCCCUGUGACUCCGGCGGCACUCCCAGGCCGCCCUCCUCUGCACUUCAGUAUCUUCCCUGCACCUGCCCACUACAAGAGAGGGGCUCGCUGCUUGCUGCUCCCCAGUCUUGGACCCUGUCUGAAGGCCGCUUUGGCGCCAAAUCCCGAGAUGUGGCAGAACAUCGAGGAUGCAGCAUGGAGACCCCAGACCUACCUGGAAUUGGAGGGCCUGCCUUGCAUCCUCUUCUUCAGUGGGGUGGACCAGCUCAGGGAGUCCUUGUGUUACCACGGCCUGGCUCCAGGUGGCGCCCUUCACUGUCAGCUAUGGUUAUGAUCAACUCCUCAUGCUUGGCAAGAAUGGCCUUGGAGCAGGAGCUGGGCCUGGCCGCCCACUUUGUGAGCAGCGAGCUGCCCUUGGACAAGGGGCCCAGGAGCGAGGCCUUGGAGAGUGACACAGAGACGCUGAGCAACACGAACAAUGAGGAGGAGGAGCAGGGACUGAAGUCCAGCUCUCUGCUGUGGCCUGGGAAAGCAGUAGAAGAUGGACCAAGUGCUUGGGACCCUACAUGCACAUGGGAGACCAGGAAGAAGCAUCUGGCUCCUGGAUUCAGAUCAGCACGGCUCUGUCCAUUGUGGCCACUUGGAGAGUGAACCAACAGAAGGAAGACCUUUCUCUCUGUAUCUCUCUCACACCAUCUUUAGCUCUCUCAAAUAAAUAAAAAAUCUUUUUAAAAAACUGCAUCUUGUAUUUGCCAAGCAAAAUGGACAUGCAAUGUCACCUGUGAAAGGUCAUGUCUUGCACACAAGUGUCAUCUAUGCUUUAUCUGAGGGCAGCUGCCUCAUGCAUCAGGUUUCCCACAGUAAGCAAGGGAAAAAGAGACCUGUGCAAACAGAAUGUGGUCCUAUAGCGACUUGACUUUCUUUCUCUGAUUACAGAUGGACUCAAGAUCCAGUGAAAACUGUACGUGUUCUGGAAUCCCUCAGUUGUUGAGGAAAAGCUGAAGGGAUGAGAGAGUGGGACCUUCCUGCCUGUUCUCUUCUGGUGAUUCAAUCCGAUUCCAGCUUCCUGGUGGAUAACAAGAUCUCGGGUGUGGUGAAAGGAACAGAUAGGCCAGCACAGAGCUAUGGGCAUCUAAGGCAGGCCCUGGAAGUAGCUGUGUCAUUUAGAGAUCGUGUGGGUCUAUGUGCAUCAAUGUUGUGAAGUUUUCAUGAGUGAUCAUGUAUGCUUUUAAAAGUGUGCAUGAGUGUGUGUGUGUGUGUGUGUGUGUGUGUGUUUUCCCCAGGCAAUGCAUUCCUAUGCACAGCUCAAGAUUAACUUCUCAAAAUAGAGAAGAAUCUGAUCAUUUUAUGUAAUUAACUUUAUGUAAUGGACUCAUUCAACCCUAUCCCCGCCUAAUGUCUGACAGAUAAGUUACAUUUCCACAGCUCAGACAGACAUGAUACAUGCACAAAUUGCCCAAGACCUUGAUGGCCAAAGUGAGAGAGGCAAAUAAGUGCCCCCGUUGAUCCUUCUGACUGCAGUGAACUUCGAACCAUGACAUAACUAGCACCACCAUGCAAGGGAGUCCCAGCACUUACGUGCCAAGAAUUAUUAGAUCCACAGAGAUCCUAAAUGCUGUACAUAAUUAUAAGCUGAUCUCUGUUAUCACACAAUCCAAGUAGCAAUAGGUACACCAAAUUGCAGGCUUUGGCAGCAUCAUGAGCAUUGUAACACACAAACAGUAAUCCUCAUCAACUCACAAAUUCUGAGAGGUGUGUGGCACCAUGUCAGAAAGCAAAGAUCAACCUCUGUUAAGUCCAGUCUUUUCAGUACCUGGCCUAAAUAGGCAAGACAAAGGGAGACACUAUUAGGUUUUUUUUUUUUUUUUGACAGGCAAAGUGGACAGUGAGAGAGAGAGAGACGAGAGAAAGGUCUUCCUUUUCUGUUGGCUCACCCCUCAAUGGCUGCUGCGGCUGGUGCACUGCAUUGAUCCAAAGCCAGGAGCCAGGUGCUUCUCCUGGUCUCCCAUGUGGGUGCAGGGCCCAAGCACUUGGGCCAUCCUCCACUGCACUCCCAGGCCACAGCAGAGAGCUGGACAGGAAGAGGAGUGACCAGGACAGAAUCCGGCACUCCAACCGGGACUAGAACCCAGGUGCUGGUGCUGCAGGUGGUGCCUGUUGAGCCGCAGCACCAGACCUUUAUUAGAUUUAAUCGAUCAUCAACAUGAGCCUUAAACAUGUAUGUUUAAAUGCAGCAGCACACACCCUGUACACAAAAGUACUUGUCACCCUGUCACAAAUCCCUUAUGCAGCAUAGUAAGACAUCAUUGCCUACCAAACGCUAACUUUCUUGAUCAAUGAUCCUACCAUUGGCAUUGGGUAGCAUGAACCUGGGGAGCCAAUGACUCAAGGGAUAUGCAUACAUCACAUGGAAAAGAAAGACCAGGAGUUUACCAUAACCCAUUAUAUCCAGGAGGAAUAAACAGAAUAAAUAGAAGGGAGUAGCUCAAAGGCUCCAAACUUAUCAUAAUAAGGAAGGGGGAAUGUUAAUGGUCCUCAUUUGGACCAUAUGUACACUAUACAUAUUUGACACAUCGCACUAUACUCCAAACCUGUGAAAGUAUUUAAUAUCAAUCAAAAGAAUAUAAAAUAUAUUUAGGGAACUGGAAAUGUAAACCAGCCUGAUUUGAUCAUCACAAAUUGUCUACAUAUAAUGAAUUCUUAUGCUAUACUCCGUAAAGAUGUCCCAUUAUAGUAAGUGAAGUAAGCUAGAUGCAGAAAAACAAGUAUGUAUCACAUCAGACAGGACAAAUAUCAAGCACGUAGAAACUGGAGUAGAAUGGUGCUUCCAGAGGCUUGGGUUUAAGGAUAUUGGGAGGUGUUGGCCAAAGUAUACAAAGUUCCAUUUAAAUAGAAUGAAUGAGUUCCUGAGAUUUAACAUAGAAUUUGAUUACAGUUACUAAUAUCAUAGUGUUAGAAUUUGCUAAAUGAAGGAGUAGAUCUUUCAGUAUGGAAGAUGUUAGGUUAAUUAGCUUCAUUGCAUUCCUCAUUUCACAAUAUUUAUGUGUAUUUGUGUAUGUAUAUUUUAUAUAUACAUGUAUAUUUAGUGCAUUGUACUCAUUAAAUAUAGAGAUGGAAGGUAUCUAGUCUAGAAGUUAAGACACCAGUUAUGUGACCAAUGUCUCACAUAGGUGUGACUGGGUUUGAGUCUCAGCUCUGGCUCCCAGUUCCACCUUCCUUUCAAUGUAGACUCUGGGACACAGCAGGUGAUGACUCAAGUAAUUAGGUUUCUAUCACCCUGGAUUGAGUCUCCAGCUCAUGGCUUCAACCCUCAUCUACCCCAGCCUCGGCAGACAUAGAGGCAUUUAUAAGAGGAGUAGAGCACUCUGUCUCUCUCUCAGCAUGGAAAGUACAUACUUUAAAAAAAAUGUUUAAGAUAGAUACACUAAAGAAGAUUUUAAGUGACUGAAUAGGGAAAAGACAUACUGCUUUAGAAGAGAGGAAAACAGCAGCAACAACAACAAAAAGCAGAGGAAGUGCAUUUGCAGAGGAGAGUCAGAGAGAAAUUUGCUCUGGAAAUCCUGCAGAAGGAAGAGGGAGACCAUGGAUCAGCAUGGAAGAUGCCAACACAAAAUAACCAGUGCACACUCCACACACAACUCCUGCAGUUGAGAGCUGGGGUAUUUGUCUGCAUUGGAGAGUGGGGUGACAGGAGACUGAGGCAGCCUGUGCCACUGGUGAUACUGCCAGAGGGAGAACCUUGAGGAUCACAUUGUCUUUCAUUCUGGCCUGGAGCGCUAACAGGGGGCAGGGUACCUGUCUAACCCAGCAAAAGAAAAGAGCAAUUCUUUCUCCCCGUGCCCCCACAAGGGCACCUGGCAACUGGUGGGGAGAAGGUGCCAUUUGACCCCAGUAGCAGCUACACGGGUAUGAUCAAGGGAUUUUAUGAAAGAGAAAACUGUGUAUUCCUCAUUGACUUUGAUUCUGGCUGGGAGGUUUGACAGGGCCUAGGCACCCAUGUAGAACUGCGAGGUGACCCAUCAUCUCAACAUAUAGGCUGCAGGGCUCAAACUCUAAGUGGAGCACCCACAGGCAGCUGGCUCUGGAAACGUCUUUGCUCUCUCUGUCAACAGAACAGCGUAGUGGGGUGGAAUUGAUCCUCUGCACUCCCACUCUCCAUGUGGGAGCAUGGCAUGCUGUGGCUCAGAAUUCUCUGACUCUAAGAUAGGGCACAAUGUAUAGCUGGGUCUCUGGGCAAUAACUAUGUCUGGGACCAGAAGCUCAGAGCUCUGCAAUUACCUUCAGUGGGUCCCAGCAGUGGGAUCCAUGCUCACAUUAAGGACUUUACAGAUCUGCUGUGUGGUUCAUGUGGUAGUACAAGUGAGUGUUGUACCCACGGUGGUCUAAGCCUUGGGUUUGAUCACUUUGGAAGAGAGAUGGUAACAAUGUGAAGAUACCAACAGAGGUGACCACACACUUCCCCCUGCUGACAAUAGAGGAGAUCUACCAUGCCAAAGUUGGGUGUUAAUCUGGAUAUUUGCCCUACUCUAGAGCACUGUCCAGAGCUUCCUGGACACUCCUAGAACAUGUCUCUGUAUCAACUGAAAGAACAGUCAUUCCACUAAGCCAAAGGGGGUAUGGUUUAGAAAUAAAAUCCAUCAAAAUAGAAAAGUAACAAAUAUUUCCACAAAUACUUAAAAAUAAAUGCAGAAAUUCAAGAAACAAGAAGACAACAUGACUCCCCCAAAAGAACACAACACUUCAAUAUUAGAAUGUGAAAAUGAUUGAUGAAAAUGCCUGAAAGGGAAUUCAAAAGAAUGAUCAUAGGAUUACUCAGAAGCAAUGAGAAGCAAACUCAUGAGUUAUAGGAUUCUAUAUAUGAGAUGGAGGAAAGAAUUUCCCAUGAGAUUGAGAUUUCAAUUGAGAAGCAGAUAUUAGAAAUGAAGCAUUUGAUAUGUCAAAUGAAAAAUAUAGUGGAAAGCCUUAUCAACAGAUUUGUUGAUGCAGAAGAAAGAAUAUCUGAGCUAGAAGGCAAAUCUUUGGAAAUAUCUUAGAUCAAAAAAAGAUGAAAUUAGAAAAAUUAAAAGCUAUAUUAGAUAUUUAUGGGAUACUAUCAAAUUAUGGGUCAUAAGAGUUUCUGAAGGUGUGGAAAGAGAAUGGUUUAAAAGGCCUAUUCAGUAAAGCAAUUACAGAAAUUUUUACUAAUUUGGAGAAAGUAAGAGAUAUCCAAGUACACAAGGCGCAUAGAGCUCCUAAUAGACAUGACCAGAAAAACGCCUUAUCACAAUACAUUGUAGUCAAACUUUUAACAGUAAAAUAUAAAGAGAAGUUUCUAAAAUGCAUACAAGAGACAUGCCAGAUUACUUUCAGAGGACCUUCAAUUACAUUCACAGCUGAUUUCUCACCAGAAACACUAGGGGCUGGAGAAAAUGGAGAAACAACUCAAGAACAUCUAGAAAAUACACAAACACAUGCAGACUAAUCAACAUGCUUCUGAAUGAACAGUGGAUUGCAGAAGAAAUCAAAUUGGAAAUAAAAAUAUUCCUAAACAAAUGAAGAUGACAAUACAAAAUAUUAAAACUUACAGGAUACAGUGAAAGCAGUGUUAAAAUUGCAGUUUAUAGAAAUUGGUGCCUGCAUCAAGAAAUUUCAUCUCAGGCCGGUGCCGUGGCUCACUAGCCCAAUCCUCUGCCUGCAGCACUGGCACUUCAGGUUCUAGUCCCAGUUGGGGCACCAGUUUCUGUCCUGGUUGCUCCUCUUCCAGUCCAGUUCUCUGCUGUGGCCCAGGAAGGCAGUGGAGAAUGGCCCAAGUGCUUGGGUCCUGCACCCACAUGGGAGACCAGGAGGAAGCACCUGGCUCCUGGCUUCUGAUCAGUGCAGUUUCAGCCAUUGUGGCCAUCUGGGGGGUGAACCAGCAGAUGGAAGAGCUCUCUCUCUGUCUCUACCUCACUCUGUAACUCUGACUUUCAAAUAAAUGAAAAAAUCUUAAAGAAAAAACAUUCCUCAACACAAUAAAGGCAAUUUAUGACAAACAACACAACAAGCAUCUUAUUGAAUGGGGAAAAGUUGGAAGCGUUUCUACUAAAAUCCAGAAUCAGAAAAAGAUACCCACUUUCACCAGUGCUAUUCAGUAUAGUCCUGGAAGAUUUAGUCAGAGACAUUAGGCAAGAAAAAUAAAUUAAAGGGAUACAAAUUGGCAAGGAGGAAGUCAAAGUAUCCUUGUUUACAGAUGACAUGAUUCUAUAUAUAGUGAAAUUGAAAGAAUACACUAAGAGGCUAUUGGAACUCAGAAAAGUCUGGUCAUUUGUAGGAUAUAAAAUUAAUGCAGCAAAAUCAGUAGCCUUUGUACAACAGAUAAUGCCAUGGCUAGAAAGAACUAAGAUCAAACCCAUUCACAAGAACUACAAAAAAUUAAGUUGCUUGGAAUAAAUUUAAGAAAGGAGGUGAAAGAUCUCUGGGAUUAAAACUACAAAACAUUAAAAAAGAAAUAGAAGCCAAAAAAUGGAAAAAUCUAUGACAUUCAUGGAUUGAAAGAAUUAAUAUCAUUAUGUCCAUACUAUCAAAAGUAAUUUACCAAUUCAAUGAAUUAUCAAUCAAAAUACCAAUGACAUUCUUCUGAGAUCUAGCAGAACAACAGUGCUAAAAUUCAUAUGAAAACAAGAGAACCUGAAUAGCUAAAGUAAUCUUAAACAACAAAAACAAAGCUGGAGGUGUCACAAUACCAGAUCAUAAAAUAUACUACAAGGGGCUGGCACCAUGGCUCACUUGGUUAACCCUCCACCUGUGGUGCCAGCAUCCCAUAUGGGCACAAAGUUCUAGUUCCGGUUGCUCCUCUUCCAGUCCAGCUCUCUCCUGUGGCUUGGGAAGGAAGUGGAGGAUGGCCCAAGUGCUUGGGCCCUGCACCUGCAUGGAGGACCAGGAGGAAGCACCUGGCUCCUGGCUUCGGAUCGGCACAGCACUGGCCGUGGCGUCCAUUUGGCAGGUGAACCAAUGGAAGGAAGACCUUUCUCCCUGUCUCUCUCUCUCUCUCUCACUGUCUAACUCUGCCUGAUGCCACCACAACAGUAGACAUGUACACCAAUGGAACAAAAUAGAAAUUCCAGAAAUCAAUACACACAUCUACAACCAACUGUUCUUUCACAAAGGAGAUAAAAUCCAUCCCAGGAGAAAGAGUAGUCUCUUCAACAAAUGGUGCUGUACAAUUGAAUCUUCUCAUGUAGAAAUUUGAAACUAGACCUUACAUCUCAGAAAAAAAUCUGCUCAAAAUGGAUCAAGGACCCACAACAACAAUGUAAUAUCAUAAAAUUACCAGAGAACAUUGGGAGAAACUUGGCAAAACACUGGCAUAAGCAAAUAAUUUUUGGAAAAGACCCCAGAAGCACAGGCAACCAAAGCUAAAAUUGACAAAUGGGAUUACUUCAAACUGAGUAGCUUCUGUACUGCAAAGGGAAUACUCAGCAAACUGAAAAGGCAACUGACAGAAUGGGAGAAAAUAACUGCAAACUAUGCAACUGAUAAAGGAUUAAGAUCCAGAAUUUAUAAAGAGCUCAAGAAACUCAACAGAAAUAAAGCAAGCGCCGGUGCUGUGGCUCAAUAGGCUAAUCCUCCACCUUGCGGUGCUGGCACAUGGGGUUCUAGUCCCGGUUGGGGUGCAGAUUCUGUCCCGGUUGCCCCUCUUCCAGGACAGCUCUCUGCUGUGGCCGGGAGUGCAGUGGAGGAUGGCCCAAGUGCUUGGGCCCUGUACUCCAUGGGAGACCAGGAGAAGCACCUGGCUCCUGGCUUCACAACAGUGCGAUGCGCCGGCUGCAGCGCGCCGGCCACAGCAGCCAUUGGAGGGUGAACCAAUGGCAAAAGGAAAACCUUUCUCUCUGUCUCUCUCUCUCUCUCUCACUGUCCACUCUGCCUGUCAAAAAUAAAAAAAAAAGAAAUAAAACAAGCAAUACAGUUAACAAAUUGGCAAAGGACUUGAAAGGCAAUUUUCAAGAGAGGCAAUUUAAAUGGCCAACAGACACAUGAGAUGCUCAGGAUAACUAGCUAUCAGGGAAAUGCAAAUAACCACAAUGGUGUUUCACCUCACUCCAGUUAGAAUAUCUCUCAUACAGGAAUCAACAAUAAAUGUUGUCGAGGAUGUGAGGGAAAUGUAACCUAAUCCACUGUUGGUGGGAAUGUAAACUGCUACAGCCAUUUGUGAAGACUGUAUGGAGAUAGCUCAAGAAUCUAGAUCUACCAAAGGCCCAGCAAUCCCACUCCUGGGAAUUUACCUUAAGGAAAUGAAAUCAGCAUAUGAAACAGUUAUCUGCACUUCCAUGUUUAUAGCAGCUCAAUUCACAACAUCUAAGAUAUGAAAUCAGCCCAGAUAUUCAUUAACUGAUGACUGGAUAAAGAAAUUGUGUGGAGGUAGUCAGUCUGGAGAUCCCUCAGAAACCUGAAGAUAACCCUACCGUUCGACCCAGCCAUCCCACUCCUUGGAAUGUACCCAAAGGAAUUUAAAUUGGCAAACAAAAAAGCGGUCUGCACAUUAAUGUUUAUUGCAGCUCAAUUCACAAUAGCUAAGACCUGGAACCGACCUAAAUGCCCAUCAACGGUAGACUGGAUAAAGAAAUUAUGGGAUAUGUACUCUUUAGAAUACUAUACCACAGUAAAAAACAAUGAAAUCUGGUCAUCCGCAACAAAAUGGAGGAAUCUGGAACACAUCAUGCUGAGUGAAAUAAGCCAGUCCCAAAGGGACAAAUACCAUAUGUUCUCCCUGAUCGGUGACAACUGACUGAACACCAAAAAGGAAACCUGCUGAAGUGAAAUGGACACUAUGGGAAACGGUGACUUGAUCAGCAUAGCCCUGACUGUUAAUGAACAACUUAAUACAUUAUCCCUCUUAGUAGUUUUUUUUUGUCUGUUCUACUUAAUAUGACUGGUUUAAUUCUGUAAUUAAUACACAGUUAUUCUUAAGUGUUGAAAUUUAACUGAAAUGUGAUCCCUGUUAAACAUAAGAGUAGGAAUAAGAGAGGGAAGAGAUAUAUAAUUUGGGACAUGCUCAAGCUGACUUGCCCCAAAUGGUAGAGUUAGAAAUAUACCAGGGGACUCCAAUUCAAUCCCAUCAAGGUGGCAUGUACCAAUGCCAUCUCACUAGUCCAAGUGAUCAAUUUCAGUUCACAAUUGAUCAUAAUGAAAGGACUAAGAGUCAAAGGGAGCACAUAAACAAGUCUAGUGCCUGCUAACAGUGACCGAUAGAAUAUAUAAAGGGGAGAGUGAUCCAACAUGGGAAGUGAGAUACUCAGCAGACUCAUAGAAUGGCAGAUGUCCUAAAUAGCACUCUGGCCUCAGAAUCAGCCCUAAAGGCAUUCGGAUCUGGCUGAAAAGCCCAUGAGAGUAUUUCAGGCAUGGAAAGCCAAGACACUCUGGCAAAAGAUCUCUGGGAGUGAGAUCUCAGUGGAAAGAACAGGUCUUCAAAGAAGGAGGUACCUUUCUCUGAAGGGAGGAGAGAACUUCCACUUUGACUAUGACCUUGUCUAAACAAGAUAAGAGUCGGAGAACUCAAGGAGCUUCCAUAGCCUUGGAAACUCAUGACUGGAGCAUAGGGAGAUUACUGAUGCCAUAGACAGGAGUGUCAAUUGGUAAAGUCAACAACAGGAGUCACUGUGCACUUGCUCCUCAUGUAGGAUCUCUGUCCUUAAUGUGCUGUGCAUUGAGAUGUAAUGCUAUAACAAGUACUUAAACAAUAUAUUUCACUUUGUUUUUCUAUGGGGGUGCAAACUGUUGAAAUCUUUACUUAAUGCAUACUAAACUGAUCCUCUGUAAAAAAAAAAAAAUUAUCAACUCCCAACUUGACUCUCACUGGGAUUAAACAUGACAAUAGGUCUGCUCUGAUUUCAUCAUCAUUUAAAAAAUCAUCUAUUAUUUUUCACUUUAUGUUUCUGUGUGGGAGCAAACUGUUGAAAUCCUUACUUAAUGUAUACUAAGCUGAUCUUCUGUAUAUUAAGAUAAUCGAAAAUGAAUCUUGAUGUGAAUGGAAGGGGAGAGGGAGUG
This is a non-coding RNA of Oryctolagus cuniculus (rabbit), 10449 nucleotides long. The record is from RefSeq and is a predicted model, not a curated record. NCBI's taxonomy places the organism in Eukaryota, Metazoa, Chordata, Mammalia, Lagomorpha, Leporidae.